GGGGGCGUAGCUCAGUUGGUUAGAGCGCCGGCCUGUCACGUCGGAGGUCGCGGGUUCGAGUCCCGUCGCUCCCG
Molecule: transfer RNA, 74 nt
Filed under: Solirubrobacteraceae bacterium
Lineage: Bacteria; Bacillati; Actinomycetota; Thermoleophilia; Solirubrobacterales; Solirubrobacteraceae
Also listed under: 2 other names
Description: tRNA-Asp
Rfam family: tRNA
About the family: Transfer RNA (tRNA) molecules are approximately 80 nucleotides in length. Their secondary structure includes four short double-helical elements and three loops (D, anti-codon, and T loops). Further hydrogen bonds mediate the characteristic L-shaped molecular structure. tRNAs have two regions of fundamental functional importance: the anti-codon, which is responsible for specific mRNA codon recognition, and the 3' end, to which the tRNAs corresponding amino acid is attached (by aminoacyl-tRNA synthetases). tRNAs cope with the degeneracy of the genetic code in two manners: having more than one tRNA (with a specific anti-codon) for a particular amino acid; and 'wobble' base-pairing, i.e. permitting non-standard base-pairing at the 3rd anti-codon position.
Source: RNAcentral